RNAcentral lists this ribosomal RNA (973 nucleotides) under uncultured bacterium. Its description in RNAcentral is "bacterial SSU rRNA". It matches the Rfam family "Bacterial small subunit ribosomal RNA", at positions 8 to 930 of the family's 1533-position model. The record is from RNAcentral.
AUAGUUUGAUUAUGGCUCAGGAUGAACGCUGCGCGGCGUGCCUAAUACAUGCAAGUCGAACGCUUUGUGGUUCAACUGAUUUGAAGAGCUUGCUCAGAUAUGACGAUGGACAUUGCAAAGAGUGGCGAACGGGUGAGUAACACGUGGGAAACCUACCUCUUAGCAGGGGAUAACAUUUGGAAACAGAUGCUAAUACCGUAUAACAAUGACAACCGCAUGGUUGUUAUUUAAAAGAUGGUUCUGCUAUCACUAAGAGAUGGUCCCGCGGUGCAUUAGCUAGUUGGUAAGGUAAUGGCUUACCAAGGCGAUGAUGCAUAGCCGAGUUGAGAGACUGAUCGGCCACAAUGGGACUGAGACACGGCCCAUACUCCUACGGGAGGCAGCAGUAGGGAAUCUUCCACAAUGGGCGAAAGCCUGAUGGAGCAACGCCGCGUGUGUGAUGAAGGGUUUCGGCUCGUAAAACACUGUUGUAAGAGAAGAAUGACAUUGAGAGUAACUGUUCAAUGUGUGACGGUAUCUUACCAGAAAGGAACGGAUAAAAUACGUGCCAGCAGACGCGGUAAUACGUAUGUUCCAAGCGUUAUCCGGAUUUAUUGGGCCGUAAAGCGAGCGCAGACGGUUAUUUAAGUCUGAAGUGAAAGCCCUCAGCUCAACUGAGGAAUUGCUUUUGGAAACUGGAUGACUUGAGUGCAGUAGAGGAAAGUGGAACUCCAUGUGUAGCGGUGAAAUGCGUAGAUAUAUGGAAGAACACCAGUGGCGAAGGCGGCUUUCUGGACUGUAACUGACGUUGAGGCUCGAAAGUGUGGGUAGCAAACAGGAUUAGAUACCCUGGUAGUCCACACCGUAAACGAUGAGUGCUAGGUGUUUGAGGGUUUCCGCCCUUAAGUGCCGCAGCUAACGCAUUAAGCACUCCGCCUGGUGAGUACGACCGCAAGGUUGAAACUCAAAUGAAGUUGACGGAAGGCGAAUUCGC